UAGCGGCGAGUGAAGCGGCAAGAGCUCAGAUUUGAAAUCUCACCUAGUGUGCGAGUUGUAAAUUGCAGGUUGGAGUCUCGGGUUAGACGUGUGUGCAAGUCCCUUGGAACAGGGUGCCACUGAGGGUGAGAGCCCCGUAGCGUGCAUGUCGACACCUGUGAGGCCCUUCUGACGAGUCGAGUUGUUUGGGAAUGCAGCUCUAAGUGGGUGGUAAAUUCCAUCUAAGGCUAAAUAUUGGCGAGAGACCGAUAGCGAACAAGUACUGUGAAGGAAAGAUGAAAAGCACUUUGAAAAGAGAGUGAAACAGCACGUGAAAUUGUUGAAAGGGAAGGGUAUUGGGCUCGACAUGGGAUUUACGCAUCGUUGCCUCUCGUGGGCGGCGCUCUGGGUUUUUCCUGGGCCAGCAUCGGUUUUCGUUGCAGGAUAAGGACAAUUGGAAUGUGGCUCCUCGGAGUGUUAUAGCCUUUUGUAGAUGCUGCGUAUGGGGACCGAGGGCUGCGGCGGACUCGUUUCGUCUCGGAUGCUGGCACAACGGCGCAAUACCGCCCGUCUUGAAA
RNAcentral lists this ribosomal RNA (557 nucleotides) under Pichia kluyveri. RNAcentral's name for it is "partial large subunit ribosomal RNA". It matches the Rfam family "Eukaryotic large subunit ribosomal RNA", at positions 84 to 659 of the family's 3401-position model. The record is from RNAcentral. Lineage: Eukaryota; Fungi; Ascomycota; Pichiomycetes; Pichiales; Pichiaceae.